CUCUCUCUCUGCUUUCAUGCAAUAUUAAAUAAGGAUAACUUUCUCUUAUCAAGAAACAUUUUAAUUAAUACAUAUCUACAUAUAUAUAUAUAUAUAUAAAUAUUCUAUUUCAAUUAAAACCAAGAUUGGUAUUAACUGGAUAAAACUUUAUUUAAUUCCAAUACGUAAAUUCUGAACUAACGAGAGAUAGAGAUAGAGAUAGAGAUAGAGAUAGAGAUAGAGAUAGAGAGAUAGAUAGAGAGAGAUAGAGAGAGAGAGAAAGAGAGAGGAAUGAAAUAAAGAAAAAAAAGGAAAGUACCGAGAAACGCCAUAGAAGUGAGCUGGUAUCGGUCUGAUGCGAUGCGGCGGCCAUGUUGGAGUGCAUGCAACGAUGCAGUAGACUUGCCAACAUAUGAUUAUGGUGGGCGCAACUAAGGCUCCUCGUGCAAGAAAAUUGGACGAAGGGCACUCUUCUUGUUGGAGGAAGACGAACGGAACUCCUGAUACAUGUAUUUGAAACAUCAUAAUGAUUAGCCCUUUGGUCACCCAGUACGAUGAAAUUGAGCUUUCGUGGGAUUCAACCGGUGCAUCAUUAAGAGACCCCCUACAUGCGGAACUUUUCCUAUUCUAUAGGCUAAAAGGAAGCAUGGAUAUUCCUUCAUAACGAAGGGUAGAUCCUACAUCUAUCGAUCGAAAAUAAAUUUUUCUUUGUCUUGCGUGUCAUCGUAUAUCUAACAACGAGCGAAUUAUUAUUUCGAAAUGAAAAAUGUCAAAAAGAUAUAUCUUAAUUCGAAAUAAAACAACGAUAUACAACAAUAAUAAUAAUUACUUAUUGUUCACGUCAAAACAAUUUUCAAGCAUUUUUAAACACGAACGAGUUUGCCACAUAGGCAUAGUUACUUUCUUGACACCGUAUAUAAUCGAUGUGGUAAACCACCGACAACUUCAGGAGAGGUAGCAGUGGAGGGAUCACGCUACAUUACGUUCCAUUAUCUCACAUUCGCUUUUUCAAAGAGGACAUAAGAGCGCAGGACCGUACACAAAGAUUACCUACCGCAGUUUAUAUCUCGUAAAGAUGGGCGCGGUAAUUCCGGCUUUCUUCCGUGGGCCACACCACCGACUUCAAGAUAGGAACCAAUAAGUAUCGAAGCUUGAGGGAAGGAGUAAAAAGGGAGUAGGAAAAGCAAGUUCUUCAGUAUUUCUUAUCAGCGAAUUAACAGCCGUUGCUACCUCAUCAGUGAUAGCAGUCGUUGGCCUCCUUACUCCAUCGAGCGACGAUGAUGAGCCAACGUCAUGGGAAGUGGCAGGUGUCAAUCGCUGUCUGUCUCAUUCUCUGAAAAGGAGAAAUUUAUCCUUAAACGAUUUCCAUGUUAUAAUAUCCAGAUGAUAUCGUUUGUUAAUUCGAAAUUUCAACUGUAAACUGACGAAU
Molecule: long non-coding RNA, 1408 nt
Organism: Vespa crabro (European hornet)
Lineage: Eukaryota; Metazoa; Arthropoda; Insecta; Hymenoptera; Vespidae
Exons: 3
Source: RefSeq, a predicted model, not a curated record